AAGACUACAAUAUAUUGCUUUUUUGAGUAGGAGUCUCACUCUGUCAC
This 47-nucleotide small nucleolar RNA is filed under the name Carlito syrichta (Philippine tarsier). RNAcentral describes it as "Small nucleolar RNA Me28S-Am2634 (ENSTSYG00000031618.1)". The record is from RNAcentral. Lineage: Eukaryota; Metazoa; Chordata; Mammalia; Primates; Tarsiidae.